Non-coding RNA from Paramuricea clavata, 1793 nucleotides. The record is from the annotation of a GenBank genome assembly. NCBI's taxonomy places the organism in Eukaryota, Metazoa, Cnidaria, Anthozoa, Malacalcyonacea, Plexauridae.
AUUUUUGCUAAUUUUAGAGAUAACAAUGUAUCAAAUAAUAAUUUCCUUGUUUAAUAUGAUUUUGUAGAAAGAGAUUUACUUGAGUGGUUGGCUGGUCUUGAACCUGUUCAAGAUGUAUAUGAUAAUGAAAGAGGUGAUCAAGGUGAUAGGGCAGAAAGUGAUGACAAGUUAAGUGAUGAAGACGAAAGUGAUGGGGAGGAAGAAAUCGCCCACUCUGUACCAUUCAAGUGCAUCGGUGCUGCUCAUGAGAAAAACUACUGACAUCAUUUGGAAAAUUAAGGCAUAAUACCUCACUCUUCAUGAACAAGAUAAAACAGUGAAUUCAAUGUAAGAAUACGGCCAGCACCAUUGAAUCCAAGGGACCCAAGUGCAAUGGUCAAUUCCAGCUUUUAGGUUAUGCAUGCAGGGGGUGAUGGGAAGUAAGGUAUCAUAUUGCUGAUAAUGCUGAAAAAAUAGAAAUGGUGGCCAUGUAAACAUGGAGUGGUAGCUAUUGUAAAUAUUGAAAUAUUUUGGUUGUUUAGGCAGUUUAUUAAAAUUUUUCAGCAUAAUUAGCAAUAUGAUACCUUACUUUCCGUCACCCCCUGCAUGCAUAAAUUAAAAGCUGGAAUUGUCUAUUGAUCUAGACUAUGGAACUGUAUGGACACAUUUUGGUUAUAUUGUUUCUGAACUAUGCAAGUAUUUGCACCCACUAAUUGCUGCAGGAGAUGUCGUGGAUGUCUGUGUUCAGUAUAUCAAGUAUAGGGUUGACUUUUUUAAUUAAUUUUAAAAAUAGGAUUUAUGCAAAAAUUUUCAUAAAGACACCUGGGGCCGGUUGUUCAACGGUGGGUUAGCGCUAACCCUGGGUUAAGAUUUAACCUGCUGUUUUAGUUUGUGUACUUCUACACAUAGAUCUGUGUAUUUCAAAACUUCAGAGAAGUAAACUUCUAUUGAUCCAGACAAGAUCUCUGAAGAAAUAUUUCCAAAUUUAUAGAAAAGCUGUCUGGAAGUUUGCUUCGAAUUUUAGGUUAACCAUGGGUUAAACUAACCCAGCUUUGAACAACCGGCCCCUGGUGAGUGGAGACUCGAGUGGUAGGAAAAAGCAUGAGUGUAUUUUGACCGAUGUUUUUUAUAUAAUAAAUAGCAACUACCAAGCUAUGUUUAGCAAGUUAUUAGUGCAUUUAUUUCAAUUGGCUAACUUUUUUAGUUUUUUCCAGCAUUUUUUAAACAAACCAUAGGUUAUAAUGAUAACUGGGUAUAUCUAAUUAAACCAAUCUGUCAUGUACACUCAUGCAAAUAAGACUAAGUACAUAAAUAACUGUAAAAAAUGUACUUUAGUAAAUAAAUGAAUAUUUAUUCAUACACUUGACCUACUUUGUGAGUAUUUUUUCAGAUUAAAAUUAAUGCAACAAUAAAACAAGAAGAUGUCUAUUUAUAUAAUAUUUAUUAAAUUGAUCAGAGAUCCCACAUCAGCUCAGAAACCACUGCCAGCAGGGAAAGAUCCCACAAUAACAUGCCACUUAAUUUGUUAUAUGAUACAUAAAAACUUAUUUUAUUGCUUUAAAACAAGUGAAACUCUCUGCUGGCUUGAAAUGGGCUGUUAUGACACUGAUUUGUCCAUGCUGAGGAUUCCGCAGCUCGAUUUGCCACAAGAACCCCAGUAUCAGGCGAUCAGCUCGUCUUGAAAUACGGACACGAUCCAGUCGCGUCGGCCAAAGACAACAAAACUUUGAAAAUCGCACAGAUAUAAAUUCUAAAAAAAUAUUAAAACAACUCCUAAGUCUUCUAAAUAAUAUUUUAACACUUUAACAAAAAUU